This 1691-nucleotide long non-coding RNA is filed under the name Triticum aestivum (bread wheat). Its description in RNAcentral is "long non-coding RNA (TAES_LNC021920)". Lineage: Eukaryota; Viridiplantae; Streptophyta; Magnoliopsida; Poales; Poaceae. The record is from RNAcentral.
UUUUUUUUUUGUCUUCUUUUUUACUUCUUUAAAAAUGUUUGGGAUUUCAAAAAAACAGAAUUUUAAUAAAUGUCACUAAUGGAACAAAAGUUCACAAAAUUCAUAAACUACAUAUUUUGAAAUUUAUGAACAAAAAAUUAAUUUUCUAUAACAUUUUUCUAAUUUAGGUAAACAUUUUUGGAAUUUUAUUAACAAAUCAUUGAAGUUUUUUUUAUUUUUACGAAUAUUUUUUGAAUUCUAUGAACAUUUUGGAAAUAUUAUGAACAUUAUUUGAUUUCAAUGAAUAACUUUUUCAUUUGAUGAUCAAAUUUUGAAUUCCAAAAAUGUUCACCCUGAUUUGAAAAAAAAAUCAUAUUUCAAAAAUGUUAACCAAUAUGAAAAAUGUUCCCAGAUUUCAGAACAAUUUCAUGUCUAUCGCCACCACCCACGACUCGCGGUCGUCGUGUGGGCCGGCGUUUGUCAUCAGGUAGAGAACAUCGUCGUCGUGCGCGGUGAGCCUGGGGUGGGUGACGAACAGGGACGGGUCCAGGGGGUUGCGGAUGUCGCUGGUCGCUAGAGUUCACCUCCCCGUCCUUGCGGAACCCCGAGCCGCCCGCCGCCAUGCUCCACGUGACGGCCGUCCAGCCGUCCGGGAUGGGCGAGCCCGGGCUGGCGUGGAGCUGGAGGUCGACGAACUUGAUCCGGCCGUUGAUGACGGCGAUGUCCCGGAAGAAGGACGAGAGGCCGUGGAGACGGAGGUCGCCGUCCGGCUGCACCGGCUCCGGCAGCGGGACGUAGCGAAGCGGCCUGGGGCCGGGGCGCUCCUCCUCCUCCUUCCUCGGGACAUGCACGUCGCAGAGGAGCAUGCCCCGGCAGAGGUCGACCUAGCCCAUGGCGCCCCUGACGGUGACAACCCUGUUGCAGAGAUGCCCCUGCGGCCGCGGAAAGGCAGUGGGCGUGCGGGUCCAGGGGUCGUCGCCAGAGUCAUAGGUGCAGACGUCGUACUGCUUGGCUCCGGAUCGCCGGUGAGAGCAGAGCGUCACGAUCUUGUAGGCGUCGGCGCGGUAGCGCAUGAUGCCGACCUCGCCGCGAGGCAGGUGGCCAUGGCACCUGGCCAAAUUGAAUGACCUAAUUGGAUGAUCUCGAGUUUUGAGGCCACGUAUACUUGGCAGACAAUCACACAAUGCAUAGAUAAGAGUUUAAAAUAUGGCAACGAACAAUGCAUUUACGGUAAGUGAACAGUGUGUUUAUGCCCAUCUCAAGUGGAAGUCAGAAAGAAUGGAAUGCUCUCGUCUACUCUCAUCAUCAGUACAAAAAUAAUAAUGCGCCUUCCAAUGGCGUCUGGCUGCAGUACAACUGGUGCCGUAAUCCUCAUGUCCUUGCGUAUGAACCUAUACUGUAUGGGAGGGGAGGCUGGACGAACUGACCGGGUGACAAAAUGGCGACUUCAGGGGGAAGCACAGACAGAACCCGCUAAAGUGUAACCCCCUGAAUCCAAAACUUCUUCUACGGUGGCCAUGCCCAUGCUCCCACGUUGAUGUUUCUGUUGCUACACUGGUGCUGCCUAUGACGAAGAUGCAACCUCGAUGGCACUUCCGAGUGGCCACGCAGCUUCAACAAACGCGUCACUGUAAGGAACCUUCUUUACCAAUGUCAUCUCUUGUUGGGGAUCAACACCUGCAAGAUGGAAGGCGAGAAGCAUGAGAUAUAUC